GCGGAUUAGCCCAAACCAAUAAAGUUUUCUUUAUUGGGGUUGCGGACAUAUCAUAACGAAGAGGUAUCGUAAUUGAAGAGGUUUGGAAAGAUCCACCACAGAAGGUAAUAGUCCUGUAUGUUAAACGAGAAGACUUUAGAUAUGAUCCAGAGUACCACGGGACACGUGAAACCCUGUGGGAAGCAGGAGGGACCACACUCCAAGGCUAAAUACUACCUAGUGACCGAUAGCGUAUAGUACCGUGAGGGAAAGGUGAAAAGAACCCCGGGAGGGGAGUGAAAUAGAACCUGAA
This 292-nucleotide ribosomal RNA is filed under the name Clostridioides difficile. RNAcentral's name for it is "partial 23S ribosomal RNA". It matches the Rfam family "Bacterial large subunit ribosomal RNA", at positions 259 to 554 of the family's 2925-position model. The record is from RNAcentral. Lineage: Bacteria; Bacillati; Bacillota; Clostridia; Peptostreptococcales; Peptostreptococcaceae.